GGGGUUGUAACUUAUUUGGUAGAGUGUUCGCCUAGCAUGUGUAAGGCACUGGGUUCAAUCCUCAGCAACACAU
This 73-nucleotide transfer RNA is filed under the name Marmota monax (woodchuck). It matches the Rfam family "tRNA". From Rfam's summary of the family: Transfer RNA (tRNA) molecules are approximately 80 nucleotides in length. Lineage: Eukaryota; Metazoa; Chordata; Mammalia; Rodentia; Sciuridae. The record is from Rfam by way of RNAcentral.